CCUACGGGAGGCAGCAGUCGGGAAUAUUGCGCAUUGGAGGAAACUCUGACGCAUUGACGCCGCGUGUAGGAAGAAGGUUCUCGGAUUUUAAACUGCUUUAGACAGGGAAGAAACAAGACAGUACCUGUAAAAUAAGCUCCUGCUAACUACGUCCCAGGAGCCGCGGUAAUACGUAGGAAGCAAGCGUUAUCCGGAUUUAUUGGGUGUAAAGGGUGCGUAGACGGGAAGUCAAGUUGGUUGUGAAAUCCCUUGGCUUAACUUAGGAACUGCAACCAAAACUAACUUUCUUGAGUGCUGGCGAGGCAAGUGGAAUUCCUGGUGUAGCGGUGAAAUGCGUAGAUAUUAGGCGGAACACCGGUGGCGAAGGCAGCUUACUAGACCUUAACUGACGUUGAGGCUCGAAAGCGUGGGGAGCAAACAGGAUUAGAUACCCUAGUAGUC
This 441-nucleotide ribosomal RNA is filed under the name uncultured bacterium. RNAcentral's name for it is "partial 16S ribosomal RNA". It matches the Rfam family "Bacterial small subunit ribosomal RNA", at positions 338 to 795 of the family's 1533-position model. The record is from RNAcentral.